Non-coding RNA from Acanthosepion pharaonis, 110 nucleotides. The record is from the annotation of a GenBank genome assembly. Lineage: Eukaryota; Metazoa; Mollusca; Cephalopoda; Sepiida; Sepiidae.
UACAGCCAUAUCAUGUUGAAACUUUGGUUCCUGUAUGAUCACCAAAGUUAAGCAAUGUCAAGCUUGGUUUGUACCUAGAUGGGUGACCACUUUGGAAUAUCCAGUGCCAU